CUUAAACCCAGUGGAAGUAACUCCAGACGAAAGCUGAGCGUGUACUCACUUGCUGUGACAUUCACAGAGAGACGAAGGGAAAAUAUCUACAGGGAAAAGGAAAAGAUCAGAAUCAAAAGACUUAAAUAGAAGGAAGGAAAGAAAAUGGUACAGAAACAUGACAUAAGAAGGGAAUGACAUUGGAGAUGCAGAUGGAAAGGCAAGUGUCUUAACACAGAACAUUUUAAAAAUACCCUUCUGUUAUUGUUUCGAUGAUCGUUUCCCAUUUCUUCACAAAGUAGAGGAUUCAGUGAAGCAGAACCGAGGAACAUUUCUUCUGUUUCUUGCCUCUCAAGUUUCGACUUCUACUAGCAAUAAGCAAGGAUAUUAUUUUAUCUUCCAUGUAGCUGACUAUUUCUGGGAAAGAGGCAAGGUGAAAUAAUAAUUAAUUUUUGAACAGUUGACGUGGACAAGAGAUCUCUCACUCAUUGUCAAAGCAUCCACUACCAUAUGUGGUCUGUAGAGCAGCCAGACAUUUGUGGUCCAGCAGCUGCCAAGGAUUUCUGAUGGAUUAGUCUUAGUAGUCUCUUCAUUGGGAAUUGGAAAGGUCCAUGGAGCUUCCACUGUGGCUAUAGGAAUUCCCUUCCUGCAUCAAAGGAUCCAAAAGGGCAUAACUGAAAGCAAUUGUUUCAUCUAGAUUGCUCUGCUGCCAGCUCCUGGAGGCAGCUAGUAGGGAGAGAAGAGCUACUGUUGUGCUGAGGGAUUUUAAAACAAUUCACCAAAGGACUUGAGAAUCACUCUCUGUGAAAAUAUAAGAAUGGAAAGCAAAGAUAAGUGAGAAAGAAGAGGACAAAACACGAACAA
Taeniopygia guttata (zebra finch) is the source of this 843-nucleotide non-coding RNA. NCBI's taxonomy places the organism in Eukaryota, Metazoa, Chordata, Aves, Passeriformes, Estrildidae. The record is from RefSeq and is a predicted model, not a curated record.